ACAGAGGCUGUGUGACCUGGGCUGUGACACUUCCCUUUCCUGAGCUUCUGUAAAUGCAAAUUUUCGUCCUUCCUCCCACCACACUGACAAUCAGCCAGUGAUUAGUGAGCAGUGACCACAUCCAGUCAUGGCACCAGGCGCUGGAGAUUCAUUGGUGAGGCGGCAGACUCCUCUGUAGGACUAGUGAAGCUGUGAUUAGUGACAACAGAGAAUACAAACUGUUGACAAUGGGAAAUUUGGCCAUAGUUUUGGUAACCUGUGGAGAAAGACAGAAACCAAGGACAGAGAGGUUCAGAGACAGGUGGACAUCUAGCAAGCUGAGUCACGGGAUCGUGGGAACUCUCUGGGAUUGAGAAUACAAUACAAGAUGGGGCGAGCACGAAUGUGCUGAGUGGUGUCAUCCUUGCCCCGGAUGGUGACCUCUUCUGGAACUGCAUCCUCAGGGAGUGGGGGGCCUGCUCCCACACAGGCUUUUAAUGCCCCACACGUGUUCCUGGAUUUUACCUCCAGGAAGCAGGAAAAUCGUCAGUAAGCAAAAACCGAGUCAUUCCUGCCUCCCCACUGCCUCUUGUCCUCCAGACAUGAGCUCUUCUGGAUUCUACCUCCAUGCUUUGUGCAAAUCACUAGCUGGAUGCAGGUAAUGCUUGUUAAUCCAUCGUCAGUUGGUGAACAUUUGAUUGUCACCACCUUUUGUCUCUUGUGAGUCCUUCUAUGAACAUACUUGCAUAGGUGUCUGCUCAAUUACCUGGAUGCAAUUCUUUUUCUUCUCUGUUUUUCAUUGUGGUAACAGGAGCGCUUAGCAUGAGACCUACCCUCUUUACAGAUUUCUGUGUCAGGACCCUAUUGUUUGCUCUAGGCAUGGAGUUGUCUGGGGAUCUCUAGAACUGUCUACCUUGCAGAACUACAACUUAUGCCCAGAAGUGGAAUUUCUUGGUGACAUGGUACUUCUGGGUUCAAGUUUUUAAGGAUCUGCCAUCUCUCGAUUUCAUGUAACUUGCACCCUACAAGUAAUGCAUUAGGUCUGUGUGCUCAUGCCCCCUGCCAUGAUUGAUAGUACACCUUAACUGUUUACAUCUCAUCUGGAGUCCUGGAACUCCAGUCUUGUGAUUUCACUGAAACUGGGCCAAGAGAAAUAGAAAUAAUCAUUCCACAUAAAAUGCAGGGAAACCUGGGUGCACUUUGGGGCUACCAGAGUGGCAUUAAUGCAUCCUAUGUUGACUUGUACUGUUUUGUGACAUCAGUUCUGCACAUUCCUCCCCAUAAGCCACCUCACAGUGGUACCUUGAAGUUACCUGUGAAGGGAGGAGAUACACCAGAGAUACUGGCCAAUGCCACGAACCAGCAUUUUGCACGGCUGCAUCUUUUUAUGCCAAUUUAUGAUUCAUUAAAACAGCCUGCAUUAUCUGAACUGAAGAGAUGGAGAUGCCUUCAUGGACCUUAAGGUGUAUGGUGAUUAGAAGGGAGGAAAAUGUAUUACCUGAAAUUGUACCAGAGCAUGGCAGUGUAUGGAGGUGUGGACUGAAAUCUGCCAUGUGGGUAUAAGCUGGUUUCACGAAAUGGGGAAAGAUGGGAGCCAGUGAAGACAACUCAACAAUGGUUUGGAAGGAGAGUCCACGGUUUAAUGGCAAAAGAGUGCAUACAUUGUCCCCACACUGGAGCCAUGACUCCUCCUCCUCCUCACAAUGAUCUGCAGACGGUUCACACAGCACUUGCCCCACAUGCGCUUCCAGAACCUCCUGGGCACACAAGGUGUAUUUCCCGGGCUCUGCUAUUCUGAUCAUUGCAUUGUUCUCUCUUGUAUCUCUUGUGUUU
Molecule: non-coding RNA, 1812 nt
Organism: Callorhinus ursinus (northern fur seal)
Lineage: Eukaryota; Metazoa; Chordata; Mammalia; Carnivora; Otariidae
Source: RefSeq, a predicted model, not a curated record